UACGUAGGGAGCGAGCGUUGUUCGGAGUUACUGGGCGUAAAGAGUGCGUAGGCGGUUUUCUAAGUUUGGGGUGAAAUCUCCCGGCUUAACUGGGGGGGUGCGCCGAAGACUGGAAGGCUUGAGUAUGGGAGAGGUAAGCGGAAUUCCUGGUGUAGCGGUGAAAUGCGUAGAUAUCAGGAGGAACACCUGCGGUGUAGGCGGCUUACUGGACCAUCACUGACGCUGAGGCACGAAAGCGUGGGUAGCAAACAGG
RNAcentral lists this ribosomal RNA (253 nucleotides) under uncultured bacterium. RNAcentral's name for it is "partial 16S ribosomal RNA". It matches the Rfam family "Bacterial small subunit ribosomal RNA", at positions 524 to 776 of the family's 1533-position model. The record is from RNAcentral.